Molecule: small nuclear RNA, 71 nt
Filed under: Salvator merianae (Argentine black and white tegu)
Lineage: Eukaryota; Metazoa; Chordata; Lepidosauria; Squamata; Teiidae
Source: RNAcentral
GUACUCGCUUCGGCAGCACAUAUGCUAAAACUGGAACGAUAAAGAGAAGAUUAGCAUGGUCCUUGCACAAG